UUGAUCAUGGCUCAAGGAUGAACGCUAGCGACAGGCUAACACAUGCAAGUCGAGGGGCAUCACGGGAGUAGCAAUACAACUGGUGGCGACCGGCGCACGGGUGAGUAACGCGUAUGCAACCUACCUAUCAGAGGGGAAUAACCCGGCGAAAGUCGGACUAAUACCGCAUAAAACAGGGGCACCGCAUGGUGAUAUUUGUUAAAGAAAUUCGCUGAUAGAUGGGCAUGCGUUCCAUUAGGUAGUUGGUGAGGUAACGGCUCACCAAGCCGACGAUGGAUAGGGGAACUGAGAGGUUGGUCCCCCACACUGGUACUGAGACACGGACCAGACUCCUACGGGAGGCAGCAGUGAGGAAUAUUGGUCAAUGGGCGAGAGCCUGAACCAGCCAAGUCGCCGUGAAGGAAGAAGGAUCUAUGGUUCGUAAACUUCUUUUGCAGGGGAAUAAAGUGCAGGACGUGUCCUGUUUUGUAUGUACCCUGAGAAUAAGGAUCGGCUAACUCCGUGCCAGCAGCCGC
Molecule: ribosomal RNA, 515 nt
Filed under: uncultured bacterium
Lineage: Bacteria
Description: bacterial SSU rRNA
Rfam family: Bacterial small subunit ribosomal RNA
Source: RNAcentral